GGAGCCGUCUUUUCUGCACAGAGUGUGCACUAUCAUCGUAACAGCAGAGACGGAGAGCAAGAUGUGAGGAGGUUAAAAGUCAGGGUCAGAAGUUCAGGUUGCUCUGACCCUCAAAUCAAUUUCAAGCACUGUUUGUGACAUUUUCCUGUGUUCCCUCGCUUGAUGUUAGUCUUUGCAAUGAACCACCGAAUCAGACUUCAGGGCUCAUGGGACUUUGGGGUUUCAGUAGGGUCAGGUCAAUUUCUACCUACCAGUGUACUGUCACCUAUGAGGCAAACCAUUAUCUAGGCGUUUGAGAACCUCAAAGUUUUGAAGCUCUGAGGGGAAAGAGAGAGGAUGAAGCGCUGGGGCCCCUGUGUCUUUGGGGCCUGACAUAGCUCAACCUGUGGCUUCAGGGGGACCGUGUGCAGCCAGGUCACAGUGGUACCGGAAAGGGAUCCUGAUCCAGACCCCAAGAGAGGGUUCUUGGAUCUCGUGCAAGAAAAAAUUCAGGAAUGCCUGACCUCCUCGGAAUGCACCUGAGUAGGACUCAGCCUCAUUUUGCCUAGCCCCUGCUCAAGAUAGAGUCACUCUGGUUGGAAGGCCUUUGGCAAUAGGAUUGGCAACUCAGAGAAAGCUGGUCCCUGGCAUGGGCAUCUCUCCCAAGGCAUUCUUCCAAAGCUGAUGGCACUAAGGCUGAACCCAGAAGCUGCAGCAGUGGACGGAUGAUGAUCUGAAGAAAUGAGAUCCCUGAUGGGCUUGGAAGUCAUGGUUCCUGUAACCAUGAUGUCACACCCUCGUCCUGACACCGAGAUGGGCUGGACACAUCUGUCACCCAGGGCAAACAAAAUGCUUGGUCUGCAUCUUUCAGAAGAAAACUAAAAAUCAAGUAAUUUCUUAGAAGUUUGCUUGCGUGUGGCUUAAGUCUUCUUCUCCUGUUGAGGAAGGUGUUGAGUUUGACCAUGACAGCCCCACCCAGUCCUUGGCUCAUCUCACCCAUCAAAGAGGAUCUGGAGAUUCAGAGCUAUGCCGUGGAAGACCUUGUCAGAGCACCAGGCCAUACUGUGCUGCAGGUGGGGUUCAGGUGCCCAGUGACAACCACCGGGGCCGCUCAUCCCUAAACGUCUGUUGAACUUAAAGUUCUACUCAAGACUUUCUACAUUAAAUACCCUUUCAUACAGCAAAAUCAGCCAUGUUCUGAGAUGUGAAACUGCAGCACAAAGUUACUGUGGUCUCCACCUAUAGAAAUGGAAUGUUACUUCAUAAAGCCCCAGGCCAAAAAAGAAACCCCAAAACUCUGAAACGACACCCUUAAAUUUAACCUGAACAUCUGGCCAGCCUCCUCCAUCAUUGAAACUUCUCCUGAGUGUUGGCAUGGAUCCUAUGUUUCUCCAGCCAGGGAGCUUUGCUCCCCAUUCUUGAUGGACCCACUGAGUCCCAAUUUUCUACAUUUUACUUGGGUCAUUCCACCACUUUGGGAUGCUUUUCCUACUCUGUUGUACUUUAAAAAUGUUUCUUCUUUCCUAUUCUCAGCUUCACGCAUUUGUCUUCUUUCUCAAUUCAACUUGCUUAGUUCUCGCUACAUCAAUUCCUAGAGCCAUCCAUCUGCACUUCUGAAUCAUUUAAGUUUUGUUUGGCUACAAGUAAUGGAAACCCACUCUGAGUAACUCAAGCAAGAACUGGAAUUUAUUGGAAGGACAGUGGGAUAUAUCAUAAGAUCCAAAAAGAAUUGAACAAAUAAAAUUUCAGAGGGAAGAAAAAGGGCAGCUCCAGUGACUUCAGCAACAAGACAACAUAAGUCUUUCUAGAGCAUAGCUACUAAUAUUAUUCAGCUGCAAGAGCCCCUCCCCAUGAGAAACUUGAUUGAAAAUUCUGAUUUCCCACAGAGAAGAAUCUGAUCGACUCAGUUUAGCUUUGGUUGCCCAACUGCUCAAUCUUGCAUGAAUUAUUUCCAGCCAAGGGGACAAGGUGUAUUAUAGGGACACACCUGCUUUCUCCAAAGAAAAGAUCUGGGCAUUUCCUGAUCAUUUCCCUGAGAAGGAGGAAUCAUUGUGAGCCAAGAAGAUACCUCAAGUAUAAUGAGCUCAGUUACACUUUUUUGAUAUCUGAGUAUUUGGUAUGUAGUGUGCAUUUUAAAAAACAUGUCUCUCUCCAGGACAAUGUUAACCUCUUCCACGGUGGAGUGGGGCUAUGUGAUUUUGUGCUUAAUUUACCUAGCUGGUGGGCCUCCAGUAGAGGCUGUAGUCGAGCCAGCUGAUACCACAUCAGUUCUCCAAAGGUAAGUUUCUCUUGGCUAAUAUUCCUUCUCUCAACUUAAUAAACACCCACUAUACACCAAGAUACAUUGAAAA
RNAcentral lists this long non-coding RNA (2330 nucleotides) under Homo sapiens (human). Its description in RNAcentral is "long intergenic non-protein coding RNA 838". The record is from RNAcentral. Lineage: Eukaryota; Metazoa; Chordata; Mammalia; Primates; Hominidae.